RNAcentral lists this ribosomal RNA (459 nucleotides) under uncultured bacterium. RNAcentral's name for it is "partial 16S ribosomal RNA". It matches the Rfam family "Bacterial small subunit ribosomal RNA", at positions 338 to 795 of the family's 1533-position model. The record is from RNAcentral.
CCUACGGGAGGCUGCAGUGAGGAAUAUUGGUCAAUGGCCGCAGGGCUGAACCAGCAAAGUCGCGUGAGGGAUGACGGUCCUAUGGAUUGUAAACCUCUUUUGUCAGGGAGCAAAGGGCGCCACGUGUGGCGCUUUGCGAGUACCUGAAGAAAAAGCAUCGGCUAACUCCGUGCCAGCAGCCGCGGUAAUACGGAGGAUGCGAGCGUUAUCCGGAUUUAUUGGGUUUAAAGGGUGCGCAGGCGGAAUGUCAAGUCAGCGGUAAAAUUUCGGGGCUCAACCCCGUCGUGCCGUUGAAACUGGCGUUCUUGAGUGAGCGAGAAGUAGGCGGAAUGCGUGGUGUAGCGGUGAAAUGCAUAGAUAUCACGCAGAACUCCGAUUGCGAAGGCAGCAUACCGGCGCUCAACUGACGCUCAUGCACGAAAGCGUGGGUAUCGAACAGGAUUAGAUACCCAAGUAGUC